UGGGGAAUCUUCCGCAAUGGACGAAAGUCUGACGGAGCAACGCCGCGUGUAUGAUGAAGGUCUUCGGAUUGUAAAGUACUGUCAUUGGGGAAGAACGGUUUUCUUGAAAAGAUUGAGAAGACAUGACGGUACCCAAGGAGGAAGCCCCGGCUAACUACGUGCCAGCAGCCGCGGUAAUACGUAGGGGGCAAGCGUUGUCCGGAAUUAUUGGGCGUAAAGGGCGCGUAGGCGGGCCUUUAAGUCCGGUGUGAAAGAUCAGGGCUCAACCCUGAGAGUGCAUCGGAAACUGGAGGCCUUGAGGACAGGAGAGGAAAGUGGAAUUCCACGUGUAGCGGUGAAAUGCGUAGAUAUGUGGAGGAACACCAGUGGCGAAGGCGACUUUCUGGACUGUAACUGACGCUGAGGCGCGAAAAGCGUGGGGAGCAAACAGGAUUAGAUACCCUGGUAGUCCACGCCGUAAACGAUGAGUGCUAGGUGUAGAGGGUAUCGACCCCUUCUGUGCCGCAGUUAACACAAUAAGCACUCCGCCUGGGGAGUACGGCCGCAAGGUUGAAACUCAAAUGAAUUGACGGGGUCAUAGCUG
RNAcentral lists this ribosomal RNA (583 nucleotides) under uncultured bacterium. Its description in RNAcentral is "partial 16S ribosomal RNA". It matches the Rfam family "Bacterial small subunit ribosomal RNA", at positions 355 to 932 of the family's 1533-position model. The record is from RNAcentral.